This 449-nucleotide ribosomal RNA is filed under the name uncultured bacterium. RNAcentral describes it as "partial 16S ribosomal RNA". It matches the Rfam family "Bacterial small subunit ribosomal RNA", at positions 29 to 523 of the family's 1533-position model. The record is from RNAcentral.
AACGAACGCUGGCGGCAUGCCUAACACAUGCAAGUCGAACGAGAUCUUCGGGUCUAGUGGCGCACGGGUGCGUAACGCGUGGGAAUCUGCCCUUUGGUUCGGAAUAACAGUUGGAAACGACUGCUAAUACCGGAUGAUGACGAAAGUCCAAAGAUUUAUCGCCAGAGGAUGAGCCCGCGUAGGAUUAGCUAGUUGGUGUGGUAAAGGCGCACCAAGGCGACGAUCCUUAGCUGGUCUGAGAGGAUGAUCAGCCACACUGGGACUGAGACACGGCCCAGACUCCUACGGGAGGCAGCAGUGGGUAAUAUUGGACAAUGGGCGAAAGCCUGAUCGAGCAAUGCCGCGUGAGUGAUGAAGGCCUUAGGGUUGUAAAGCUCUUUUACCCGGGAUGGUAAUGACAGUACCGGGAGAAUAAGCUCCGGCUAACUCCGUGCCAGCCGCCGCAGUAA